This 734-nucleotide ribosomal RNA is filed under the name Burkholderia cenocepacia. Its description in RNAcentral is "bacterial SSU rRNA". It matches the Rfam family "Bacterial small subunit ribosomal RNA", at positions 54 to 780 of the family's 1533-position model. The record is from RNAcentral. Lineage: Bacteria; Pseudomonadati; Pseudomonadota; Betaproteobacteria; Burkholderiales; Burkholderiaceae.
CAUGCAAGUCGAACGGCAGCACGGGUGCUUGCACCUGGUGGCGAGUGGCGAACGGGUGAGUAAUACAUCGGAACAUGUCCUGUAGUGGGGGAUAGCCCGGCGAAAGCCGGAUUAAUACCGCAUACGAUCCACGGAUGAAAGCGGGGGACCUUCGGGCCUCGCGCUAUAGGGUUGGCCGAUGGCUGAUUAGCUAGUUGGUGGGGUAAAGGCCUACCAAGGCGACGAUCAGUAGCUGGUCUGAGAGGACGACCAGCCACACUGGGACUGAGACACGGCCCAGACUCCUACGGGAGGCAGCAGUGGGGAAUUUUGGACAAUGGGCGAAAGCCUGAUCCAGCAAUGCCGCGUGUGUGAAGAAGGCCUUCGGGUUGUAAAGCACUUUUGUCCGGAAAGAAAUCCUUGGCUCUAAUACAGUCGGGGGNAUGACGGUACCGGAAGAAUAAGCACCGGCUAACUACGUGCCAGCAGCCGCGGUAAUACGUAGGGUGCAAGCGUUAAUCGGAAUUACUGGGCGUAAAGCGUGCGCAGGCGGUUUGCUAAGACCGAUGUGAAAUCCCCGGGCUCAACCUGGGAACUGCAUUGGUGACUGGCAGGCUAGAGUAUGGCAGAGGGGGGUAGAAUUCCACGUGUAGCAGUGAAAUGCGUAGAGAUGUGGAGGAAUACCGAUGGCGAAGGCAGCCCCCUGGGCCAAUACUGACGCUCAUGCACGAAAGCGUGGGGAGCAAACAGGAUUA